UACGAAGGGAGCUAGCGUUGUUCGGAAUCACUGGGCGUAAAGGGUGCGUAGGCGGGUCUUUAAGUCAGGGGUGAAAUCCUGGAGCUCAACUCCAGAACUGCCUUUGAUACUGAGGAUCUUGAGUUCGGGAGAGGUGAGUGGAACUGCGAGUGUAGAGGUGAAAUUCGUAGAUAUUCGCAAGAACACCAGUGGCGAAGGCGGCUCACUGGCCCGAUACUGACGCUGAGGCACGAAAGCGUGGGGAGCAAACAGG
RNAcentral lists this ribosomal RNA (253 nucleotides) under uncultured bacterium. Its description in RNAcentral is "partial 16S ribosomal RNA". It matches the Rfam family "Bacterial small subunit ribosomal RNA", at positions 524 to 776 of the family's 1533-position model. The record is from RNAcentral.